CCCCAGCAAGCCAGGAAGGAGGCUGCCAGAGCUCCCUGUAGCAGACCCUCCCUGCAGCAGACCAGACCAUCCAGCACAGCUUUUGCAGUGAGCAACAUGAAGGUUACUUACCUUGCCCUACUUAACACAAAGGAAUCUUUAACUGUCACCACCGGACCCAGCUCUGGACAUUCUGAAUCAUGAUACUGACUACAGUCCUCACACCCUGGAAGCAGACAAGAGAAAGAACAGCAUGGACAUUUAUUUCUCACUGCCAAGUCCUGGUGUCUGCUCAGCCCAAGAGUGCCUCCAAGAGCAACACCUGGCAUACUCCAGUCAAAUACUUUGGAAGCCCCCAGCCAAAUAUGGAUGCAAACCCUGAGCACAACAUCACCUGUGACACUUGUUCCAUUUUCUUCACUGCCAAAAGGUGACUGAUGCUAUAAAAGCAAGGCUUUACAGUCAAAUUCCAAAGCCAAGAUAGUCUUACAGUGCUGAUCCACUAUGGGGAGGAUUGAUGAUUCUUUGGAAUUAGGAAGGCAAUUAUAGUUCUUGACUAGGAUUCCAUAAAAACCUCCCUUGUAUAGCUUCAAAAAGAACUGGACAAGUUCACAGAAGACAGCUAUAGAGAUCUAUUAGCCAUGACAGUUUUAUGGAACCUCCAUAUUCAGAGGAAGCAUACCUCUGAACAGCAAAUACUGGUACAAACAACAGCCACUACCUUUUCACACUGCUUGUGAGCUGUUCAGAGGCAUCUGGUUAGU
Molecule: long non-coding RNA, 743 nt
Organism: Hemicordylus capensis (graceful crag lizard)
Lineage: Eukaryota; Metazoa; Chordata; Lepidosauria; Squamata; Cordylidae
Exons: 4
Source: RefSeq, a predicted model, not a curated record